This 1551-nucleotide long non-coding RNA is filed under the name Olea europaea (common olive). Its description in RNAcentral is "long non-coding RNA (OEUR_LNC005517)". The record is from RNAcentral. Lineage: Eukaryota; Viridiplantae; Streptophyta; Magnoliopsida; Lamiales; Oleaceae.
GAAAAUUGAGAAAGAGGGAGGAAGAAAAAAAUGAAGAAAGAAGAAGAAGAAGUGGGUUUUCAAUUUUGGGGUGCUCCAUUUCUUCAAUUUCUCAUUUGAUUUUGAGAGGUAAGUGUAAGUAUAUUGAGUUAAGUUUUCUUUUAGGGUUUAUGGAAAAUUUGGUCAUAUUUGAAGUUAGCUAGAAUUAGAGGUUAUUGACAUUUAUUUGAGGUAUUAAACAUGAAUAUGUUAAAAAAAUAUAUGUAUUGAAAGAUUGGUGUUGGAAAAAAAAAAUAAAAGAAAGAAAAGAAAAGGAGGGAAACUUUGAAAAUGAGUUUGUGAAAUAGGUGCUUAUUCUUUGAUUUUCUUUGGAUUAUGUAAUGUUAAUCACUUAAAUUAUGGAAUUGGGGUUGAUUUCUCCAUUUUUAAGUAAUAAUUAUAAUCAAUUUUUGGACAAAUCCUACACAGGCGCUGCUUUUGAAAUUCUGCCCAGAAAAGUGCUAGUUUUGUCAAUUUUUUGGUGACAGAAUUCAAUAAAUAGACAUUGGUGCUAGUUUUCAAUAUACUGGAAUUAUAGUGCUAGUUUUGUCAAUCAUCUAAUUUUCUUGGAUUUCUAGUAUUCUAACCCAAUUUAGUGUUAAUUAUUUGGAGUUUUGGUGUUUAAAUAAUUUAUAAAGGAGUAUAUGUUGUUAGUGACUUUAAUUGGGAUUACAAGGUUGAAAAUAAAAUAUAUCAUGUUCCCAUUGGUAAAUUAAUAUUUCAAAUGGUAGGAAAAUACUCAAGGCAUCUUGGUAAGGGAAUAUGAUUUACUAGAGCGAGUGCGUAAUAUCAUACUUGAUAUUUGAAGUUGAAGUGGUGACGAAAAGAUUGAAACCAUGGUCGACUAUUACUUGGCGAGUGGAUAAAACUUAUUUUUCAGAAAUAAGUCUUCUUUAAAUUUUAAAUUUAUUUAUUUUAUAAAGUUGACUUCAUAGCAUGAUUUUCAGAAUAAAAUGGACUUUAUUAUCAAUUGCUUUUAAAGUUAAAUUCAGUUUAGUUAAAUUAUUUUAGUAGCAUGUUAUAUUCAUAUUAUAUGUUUCAGUAUAGUUAAAGUUAUUUCUACAAACCACCAGAAAGUACCCAGGUGAUUUUACCCCAGUUUGCAUUGAUGUGAAUGUAUUUUCAUAGUGUAUGACUAGUUAUAGUGAUUUUACCCGCUCUGCACUAUCGUGAAUGUGUUUCCAUAGUGUAUGACCAGAUUAUCAGAGGUCUUUGGGACCCACUCUCGUACACACAUAGGCUUUGGGCCGUGUACUAGGGUGAUUAGCCUUUGGGGCAGCUCUGCAUACGUAUGACCAGAUUAUCAACUAUCAGAUUAUCAGAUUUGAAUGGCUUGCCUUGUACAUCGAGAUUACUAUGUACAUGUGUAAGGCUAUUCAUUGGGUACUCUUUAUGGUGUGAUUUUACAGUACUUAUUCAGUUCUCAGAUUUCAGAUUAUGGAAUUCAGUUUUCAGAAUAAAGUUUUCAGCUUCUAGUAUUGAGCAGCAGCAAUAUUUCAUAGAUUUUAAUGAAUAUCAGAUUCUUUAUAAUUG